This 433-nucleotide ribosomal RNA is filed under the name uncultured bacterium. RNAcentral describes it as "partial 16S ribosomal RNA". It matches the Rfam family "Bacterial small subunit ribosomal RNA", at positions 29 to 507 of the family's 1533-position model. The record is from RNAcentral.
AACGAACGCUGGCGGCAUGCCUAACACAUGCAAGUCGAACGAGACCUUCGGGUCUAGUGGCGCACGGGUGCGUAACGCGUGGGAACCUGCCCUUAGCUUCGGAAUAACUCCCCGAAAGGGGUGCUAAUACCGGAUAAUGUCUUCGGACCAAAGAUUUAUCGCCUUUGGAUGGGCCCGCGUUGGAUUAGCUAGUUGGUAGGGUAAAAGCCUACCAAGGCGACGAUCCAUAGCUGGUCUGAGAGGAUGAUCAGCCACACUGGGACUGAGACACGGCCCAGACUCCUACGGGAGGCAGCAGUGGGGAAUAUUGGACAAUGGGCGAAAGCCUGAUCCAGCCAUGCCGCGUGAGUGAUGAAGGCCUUAGGGUUGUAAAGCUCUUUUACCCGGGAUGAUAAUGACAGUACCGGGAGAAUAAGCCCCGGCUAACUCCGUG